RNAcentral lists this transfer RNA (53 nucleotides) under Polyacanthorhynchus caballeroi. RNAcentral's name for it is "tRNA-His". Lineage: Eukaryota; Metazoa; Acanthocephala; Polyacanthocephala; Polyacanthorhynchidae. The record is from RNAcentral.
GGUUGUAGAGAGUUCAAGUGUUAGACUGAUUGUGGGUUAGUUGAGUGGGCUUG